AUGAUUUUUCGAUAUUUAUUUACCAUCUAACAUAUUACGUAAAUAUCAAUUCGUUAUUUUGUUAGUUGAAUAUAAAUUUUUCUUUAAUUUAAAGUAGUGCCUGUUGAAAUGUUCGCAAAGCUGGUCGUUCACUCAUAUUGUUCUUCGUGGAAAGUUCGCAAAUUAGAUGAGACACAACUUGAACUUGAGACUUCUUGUCUAUAUGCUGGGUGAAAUGUCACGGAUAAAUGUCUCGCUGUGAAAAUGUCAUGUACAGAUGCAUCUUAGUGUAUGCAGUUAAACAUUAUGCAACAACUAUCAACAUCGACGAAGCGAUAUUUCUUUCCUUUUUAUUGGAGCCAAACUAUUUCCUUCUUUAAGAACAGAAGAAGACGAGCUACAUCUUAAAUCGAGGGGAUUUAUUCGACGGUUCAGUGACGCAAAUUUAUGCGUCGACCAAUGCAACUGCUCGCAGAUCAGGAUAUAUUAUAUGCGUGGGGUGUUGCGUAAAUUAACAGGGAAAGUCUCGUGGGCCGUGAUAAUGUCAAAAAGCCGAGACGGUUCGAUUGAUUUUGGGUCAAUGUGGAACGAGAGAGAGAGAAAGAGAGAGAGGUUUUUGCACGCGACGCUUCUCGAAGCCGACGCUUCUCUGGCUGUUGACCGUGAAAAAAAAA
This is a long non-coding RNA of Acromyrmex echinatior (Panamanian leafcutter ant), 653 nucleotides long. The record is from RefSeq and is a predicted model, not a curated record. NCBI's taxonomy places the organism in Eukaryota, Metazoa, Arthropoda, Insecta, Hymenoptera, Formicidae.